Molecule: ribosomal RNA, 435 nt
Filed under: uncultured bacterium
Lineage: Bacteria
Description: partial 16S ribosomal RNA
Rfam family: Bacterial small subunit ribosomal RNA
Source: RNAcentral
GAUGACCGCUGGCGGUAUGCUUAACACAUGCAAGUCGAACGGACUCUUCCUGCUUAUGUGCGGACCGGGGAGUACCGCGUGAGAAGCUGGCUUUGGGUUCGGUACAACCGCUGGAAACGGUGCCUAAUACCAGAUGUGCCGAGAGGUAAUAGAGAAAUUUGCUGCAGAUGAGCUCGCGUCUGAUUAGCUAGUUGGUGAGGUAAAGGCUCACCAAGGCAGCGAUCAGUAGCUGGUCUGAGAGGAUGACCAGCCACGCGGAGACUGAGACACGGCCCAGCCUCCUACGGGAGGCAGGAGUGGGAAAUUGCCCGCAAGGGGGGAACGUCUGACAGAGCAGUAGCGCGCGAGAGAAGAAGGCUCGUGGGUUGUACCGCUUUCGCCUGAGAGAAGAAGAGAAUGACGGUACCGAAUAAAGAAGCACCGGCUAACUCCGUG